CUACGGGCGGCUGCAGUGGGGAAUAUUGCACAAUGGGCGCAAGCCUGAUGCAGCCAUGCCGCGUGUAUGAAGAAGGCCUUCGGGUUGUAAAGUACUUUCAGCGGGGAGGAAGGGAGUAAAGUUAAUACCUUUGCUCAUUGACGUUACCCGCAGAAGAAGCACCGGCUAACUCCGUGCCAGCAGCCGCGGUAAUACGGAGGGUGCAAGCGUUAAUCGGAAUUACUGGGCGUAAAGCGCACGCAGGCGGUUUGUUAAGUCAGAUGUGAAAUCCCCGGGCUCAACCUGGGAACUGCAUCUGAUACUGGCAAGCUUGAGUCUCGUAGAGGGGGGUGGAAUUCCAGGUGUAGCGGUGAAAUGCGUAGAGAUCUGGAGGAAUACCGGUGGCGAAGGCGGCCCCCUGGACGAAGACUGACGCUCAGGUGCGAAAGCGUGGGGAGCAAACAGGAUUAGAUACCCUAGUAGUC
This 464-nucleotide ribosomal RNA is filed under the name uncultured bacterium. RNAcentral's name for it is "partial 16S ribosomal RNA". It matches the Rfam family "Bacterial small subunit ribosomal RNA", at positions 339 to 795 of the family's 1533-position model. The record is from RNAcentral.